This 178-nucleotide ribosomal RNA is filed under the name uncultured bacterium. RNAcentral's name for it is "partial 16S ribosomal RNA". It matches the Rfam family "Bacterial small subunit ribosomal RNA", at positions 335 to 503 of the family's 1533-position model. The record is from RNAcentral.
ACUCCUACGGGAGGCAGCAGUAGGGAAUCUUCCGCAAUGGGCGGAAGCCUGAACGGAGCAAUGCCGCGUGAGUGAAGAAGGCCUUCGGGUCGUAAAACUCUGUUAUAAGAGAAGAACAAAUUGUAGAGUGAACUGAUACAGUCUUGACGGUAUCUUAUCAGAAAGCCACGGCAAACUA